UACAUGGGGUGCAAACGUUGCUCGGAAUUAUUGGGCGUAAAGCGCACGUAGGCGGUUCGUUAAGUCGGAUGUGAAAGCCCUCGGCUCAACUGAGGAAGUGCACCCGAAACUGGCGAGCUUGAGUACGAAAGAGGAUCGCGGAAUUCCCGGUGUAGAGGUGAAAUUCGUAGAUAUCGGGAGGAACACCGGCGGCGAAGGCGGCGAUCUGGGUCGAUACUGACGCUCAUGUACGAAAGCGUGGGGAGCAAACAGG
This 253-nucleotide ribosomal RNA is filed under the name uncultured bacterium. RNAcentral describes it as "partial 16S ribosomal RNA". It matches the Rfam family "Bacterial small subunit ribosomal RNA", at positions 524 to 776 of the family's 1533-position model. The record is from RNAcentral.